UACGAACCGUCCAAACGUUAUUCGGAAUUAUUGGGCUUAAAGGGUGCGUAGGCGGCGUGUUAAGUCGGGUGUGAAAUCCCAGAGCUCAACUCUGGAACUGCGCCCGAUACUGGCAUGCUUGAGGGAGACAGAGGUGAGCGGAACUGAUGGUGGAGCGGUGAAAUGCGUUGAUAUCAUCAGGAACACCAGUGGCGAAAGCGGCUCACUGGGUCUCUUCUGACGCUGAGGCACGAAAGCUAGGGUAGCGAACGGG
Molecule: unclassified non-coding RNA, 253 nt
Filed under: uncultured Pirellulaceae bacterium
Lineage: Bacteria; Pseudomonadati; Planctomycetota; Planctomycetia; Pirellulales; Pirellulaceae
Description: contains 16S-23S intergenic spacer region
Rfam family: Bacterial small subunit ribosomal RNA
Source: RNAcentral